GCCUGCGCAGUGCGCGCGGGGCCUGCACGGCGGCGGCGGCGGCGGCGGCGGGAGGAGCCGCGGGAUGUCGGGGCCGGGCGGGCCGGGCCCCGGCGGGGGGAAGCUGGACAUCAACCGCGCCGGUGUGGCCGAGCUGGAGGGCGCGCUCAGCGGCAUCGGCCGCCGCCGCGCCCGUGGCAUCGUGCGCAAGAGAGAGGAACUCAAGGGAUUCAACUCACUUGAUGAUCUUCUCCAUGUCAAAGGCAUCACCACCCGCAUCUUGGAGCUGAACAGUCAGCGGAUGACUUGCAGGAGGAGGCCAAGCAGUGAGGAAGCUGUGAGGGUGAGCCCUGGUCUGCAAGGGGACAGCAAAGCUCCUGUGCCUCAGGUGGUGGCUGAGGAGGAGGAGGUUUCGGGCCCUUGGGAGCCGGAGCGCUCUGGGAAGGGGAGCCCAGGGUCAGGACCGGAGGCUGAUGGCUCCAGUGGGCCAGGGGCACAGGAGCCGGUCAGCUCCACCGUCUGCGGGGAGCAGGAGGAGGAGGAGGAGGAAGAAGAGGAAGAGGGGAGCUGCUACAGCGAGGAAGGGGAGGAUGGUAGCAACGUCUACUUCUAUUACACCAUCGGAGAGCGCUGGAUAGACUACCUGCAGCGGACAGAGGACGGUGGCCUCCUCCGUCACGUGCGGCCCAAGAUGAAGCGGAAGUCAGAGAACGGCCUGGAUGGCCGGGCCCUUUCCCCUGGUAAAAAGCUGUGCAAGGGCUCCGAGUACAGCAGGACGCUGGGUCCCUGCAUGCCCAGCCCCACCACCACCUUCGGGGACCUGCGCAACGCCAAAGCAGGCCAGGCACGGCGCCGCCGCAUCCCCUCGGUCGCUCCUCCUCCCGAGCUGCAGGACUGGCUCCGCACCUUCCAGCGCUGGAGUGGCCCGGAGAAGCUGCUUGCUCUGGAUGAGCUCAUCGAUCGCUGCGAGCCCUCCCAGAUCAAGUACAUGAUGCAGGUCAUUGAGCCCCAGUUCCAGAGAGACUUCAUUUCCCUGCUGCCCAAGGAGCUGGCACUCUAUGUCCUCUCGUUCCUGGAGCCUCGGGACCUGCUCCGUGCUGCCCAGACCUGUCGCUACUGGAGGGUCUUGGCUGAAGAUAACCUGCUUUGGAGGGAGAAAUGCCGCGAGGAAGGCAUUGAGGAGCCCUUGAACCUGCGGAAGCGGCGCCUGCUGAGCCCUGGGUUCAUGUACAGCCCCUGGAAAUUUGCAUUCAUGCGGCAGCACAAAAUCGACAUGAAUUGGCGCAGUGGGGAGCUUAAAGCCCCCAAGGUGCUGAAGGGACACGAUGACCACGUCAUUACCUGCCUGCAGUUCUGCGGCAACCGGAUAGUCAGUGGCUCGGACGACAACACGCUCAAAGUGUGGUCGGCUGUCACUGGGGAGUGUGUGCAGACACUGGUUGGCCACACAGGGGGAGUGUGGUCUUCCCAGAUGAGGGACAGCAUCGUCAUCAGCGGCUCCACGGACCGGACCCUCAAGGUGUGGAACGCGGACACGGGCGAGUGCGUGCACACGCUGUACGGGCACACGUCCACGGUGCGCUGCAUGCACUUGCACGGGAACAGGGUUGUGAGCGGCUCGCGGGACGCCACGCUGCGCCUCUGGGACAUCGAGACCGGGCAGUGCCUGCACGUGCUGAUGGGGCACGUGGCUGCCGUGCGCUGCGUGCAGUACGACGGGCACAAGGUGGUGAGCGGCGCGUACGACUACACGGUGAAAGUCUGGGACCCCGAGAGCGAGAGCUGCACUCACACGCUGCAGGGGCACACGAACCGCGUCUACUCCUUGCAGUUUGAUGGGACACACAUCGUGAGCGGCUCUCUGGACACUUCGAUCCGAGUGUGGGACGUAGAGAGUGGAAACUGCUUGCACACCCUCAUGGGGCACCAGUCGCUCACGAGCGGCAUGGAGUUACGUGACAACAUCCUCGUGUCCGGCAACGCCGACUCCACCGUCAAGAUCUGGGACAUCAAGACGGGCCAGUGCCUGCAAACGCUGCAGGGCCCCAGCAAGCACCAGAGCGCCGUCACCUGCCUGCAGUUCAGCUCCAAAUUCGUGGUGACCAGCUCAGAUGACGCCGCGCUGCCCUGGGCGAGGGCUCGUUCUCACCCGUGUUGAGGCAGCCCCUUGGGGAGGGAUGAGGCGGCUCCGGGAUUCGGAGAGGAGCUGGGCUGGCCCUGCUGAGCCAGGCUUCUGCGCUGCUGCUGCUGCGUCCCCAUCCGACCGGCGUAAACCACCGACCUUGAAAGGAGAAGGGACCGUCACCAGCCCAACCGGUGUGCAAGCAUCCCGGGCCCCGGCCUCCCGGCCCCUGAAGGCAGAAAGGUGAGCCCAGCAGCCCUGGCGUCUCCCCGACCACCCCGUUUCAGCGGUAGCCUGCUGUGGUCUGGAGGCCGGGAAAGAAACCGGAGCAGAAAACCACGCCGAGAGACCUGCUGGUCCGUGCAGCGGGAUGAGAUCUGGCAUCUCUGCAGGUGGCGAGUUCAGAGUUGCCAUUAAUGAGCCAUCGCCAGCUGUGCCGCGCGGGUCCGCUCGUGCCUGCGAGCUCCCGUCGCACUGAGCAGCUGCACAAAAACCUCAAGCGGUUGCGCAAGCCGGGGUGCACGAAGAUGUGUCGCCGGCUGCUGCGCGCAGCCCUCGCCCCGCGCAGUGCACGAAGCCAUUUGGCAGCGAUUGGCCAAACAAAUCUGCCCACUUGCCUUUAGGAUAAAUGAUUUCCCCCAAAUAACAUAAAUCACCGGGGCCCCUAUUUUAAGCUGUUCUGGUUUUGCCUUUUCAAAGACAGCUGUGAAACGCCAGCGAGGAAGGAAUGGAGUUCAAGAAAGAACCUUAGUUCUGGUCCCGCGCGCCCGCUAGCUUCUUGAAAGCCUAGGCAGAUGCCAUUGUCCUUGGCUGAAUUUUCUGCGACGUUGUUUAUGGGCAAAACGCAUCUUUCCCAGUGGAGGAGUUUGUCAGAGAACUCUGCAAUGGCUCUGACUCCUCUUUCUCGUCGAAUCACGGAAUACCGGCCUGGAGGGGACCUCGAGGAUCAUCUGGUCCAACCUGUCUUGGCAAAAGCUCAGUCUAGACGAGAUGGCCCGGCACCUGGUCCAGCUGAACCUUAAGAGUGUCCAGUGCUGGGGAACCCACCACUUCCCUGAGGAGAUUAUUCCAGUGGCUGAUUGUUCUCACUGUAAAAAAUUUUCCUCCUGUGUCUGAUUGGAAUCUCCCAGUGAGAAAGUCGUCCCCAUCACCCCGCAUCUUUUCCAUGUGAUUCCUUGUAAAAAGGGAGUCUCCAUCUCCUCUGUAGUCACCCUUUAAACACUGGAACAUGGUGAUAAGGUCUCCCCUAAGGCUUCUCUUCUCAAGGCUGAGCAAACUCAGUUCUCUCAGCCUUUCCUCACAUGGCUGCCCCGUCCCUUGAUCAUCUUCGUGGCCCUUCUCUGGGCCCUCUCCAGCCCGGCCACAGCUUUUUUGUGUAGCGGGGACCAGAACUGAACACAGUAUUCCAGGCGUGGCCUGACAAGUGCAGAGCAGACUGUUCUAUCCCUGCUGGUGAUGCAGCCCAUCACCCCGUUGGCUUUUUUCGCCGCUGCAGUCCACUGCUCACUCGUGUUGAGCUGCUUGUCCCCCAGGACCCCCAGGUAAAUCCCUUUCUGCAGAGCUGCUCCCCAGCCAGGGCUGCGCUCCUGGAUGAUGUUUUCCCAGGUGCAAGACCUUACACUGUCCUUGUUGAAAUUCCCAAGGUUCUUCUUAGCCCAAUCCUUCAGCCUAGCCAAGGUCUUCCUGCAGGGUGGCUCUCCCUUCCCAGGCGUCCGCUUCCCCGCUCAGUCUGGCAUCAUCAGCAGACUUCAUCGGGCUAUGCUUGGUCCCAUCAUCCAGAUCACUUUAUGAAGAUAUUUUGUUAUAUAUGGAAACAAAUCUUCAGCACCCCCUGGAUGCCGUGCUGGGGACACACUGGGAAUCAGAUCCAGCCCCGCCGAGAUCCAUCCCAAAGCUGCCCGGCACGGUGCCAGGCUUGGGCAGUGGCUGUGACACCGGCUGUGCCGCCGGUGGGGACAGCACGGGAGGGGUAGCUGCUCUUCCCCGGGAACCACGGCGGUCUGGGGGGGGGCUCAGGUGGGGGGAGCUGGGGCAGCAGAGGAGAAAAGCACCCGGGAGAAAAAGUCACGCCGAAGGGGCAGACCGAGAGCAGCUCUGCCGGCUGGGGAGGCAAACAAGGCAGCGCUCUGGAAGAGGAAUUUCUGGUGCCCAGAGCUGCCCCGUGCAAGCCUGGAACUUCUAAAGAUGACGGAUACCCCCGGGGUCUUAUCCUCUGUCGCCUCCAGAUGUUGAGCUCCCAGGCUGCAGCAAGGAUUCCCGCAUCCACCUCCCAGGGCACGGCUUCAAACUCACCCGCUUACGCACAGACAGGCUCGCCGAGACUGUCUAUAAUCUGAUUAGGAGCAGUACCGUGGAUUAAAAUAAUUACAUGCGUGUUGGGAAGACGACGUAGUUGCUAUUAAAGACACCGGUGUUUCUUUUACAGCCGGCAGCUCAGCCCCACACUUCUGUCAGAGGUGUCUCGGGACUGCGCUCUCCGAAGAGGAGAACUGGGUGCUCGCCGCAAACAUCGGCUCGUCGGGCGUAGGAGAAAAGCUGCCUCCUAACGGGAGCACUCAGCUGGGGAGAGGGACGCUGGAGCCACUUGGCAACCCGGCAUAAAUCAUCACCGGAGUGCCCGGCACGCUUUCAUCCAUAAAGUUUAACACAAAAGGUGAGGCGGGUGCGUCUUUGGGCAGGACUGCCCGACUGCUGGGCGGCUGCGUCCCACGCCCGCGAGCAGAGGACAGCCGGAGCCGAGCCAGCAGCUGAUACUGCAGAAAGGUUCAUUUCCCGCCGCCGAGCAAAGCCCUCGCUAAACUUAAUCAGGAGGAAAUUUUUCAGACAGAAGAAACUUGUAACAUAUUUUUUUUUUUUUUUUUCGGUUUCUUUGACGGUGAAGCCGUCAGAUCUUGGCAAGCAAGGAAGGAUAUGAAAUUUAGAAAGAUGUUAAGCAUUUGCUAGAACAUAAAACUUCUUCGAAAUCAA
Molecule: RNA transcript, 5068 nt
Organism: Tyto alba (common barn owl)
Lineage: Eukaryota; Metazoa; Chordata; Aves; Strigiformes; Tytonidae
Gene name: F-box/WD repeat-containing protein 7-like
Exons: 15
Source: RefSeq, a predicted model, not a curated record